GAGACCUUGGUCUUUUGAUUCAAAGCCCGCAAGGGCGUCUAAGGAGGGGCCCGCGCCCGAUUAGCUAGUUGGUGAGGUAACGGCUCACCAAGGCUUUGAUCGGUAGCCGGUCUGAGAGGAUGGCCGGCCACACUGGAACUGAGACACGGUCCAGACUCCUACGGGAGGCAGCAGUGGGGAAUAUUGCGCAAUGGGCGAAAGCCUGACGCAGCGACGCCGCGUGGGGGAUGAAGCUUUUCGGAGUGUAAACCCCUUUCGACCCGGACGAAUGACCCGCAAGGGUUUGACGGUACGGGUAUAAGAAGCCCCGGCUAACUACGUGCCAGCAGCCGCGGUAAUACGUAGGGGGCCAGCGUUGCUCGGAAUUACUGGGCGUAAAGGGUUCGUAGGUGGUGCGGCAAGUUGGGAGUGAAAUCUCUGGGCUUAACCCAGAGGUUGCUUUCAAAACUGCCGCGCUCGAGUGCCAAAAAAGGUCAGUGGAAUUGCAGGUGUAGCGGUGA
This 500-nucleotide ribosomal RNA is filed under the name uncultured bacterium. RNAcentral describes it as "bacterial SSU rRNA". It matches the Rfam family "Bacterial small subunit ribosomal RNA", at positions 183 to 684 of the family's 1533-position model. The record is from RNAcentral.